Molecule: unclassified non-coding RNA, 246 nt
Filed under: plant metagenome
Description: partial contains small subunit ribosomal RNA, internal transcribed spacer 1, and 5.8S ribosomal RNA
Source: RNAcentral
UCUCCGUUGGUGAACCAGCGGAGGGAUCAUUAACGAGUUUCGCAACUCCCAAAAACCCACUGUGCACCUAUACCUCCACUGUUGCUUCGGCGGGCUCUUCGCCCGGGAACCUGGAACUCGGGCACCUGGAACCCGGGCGCCCGCCGAGGGACUCAAGCUCCUGUAUUCUUCAGUUUGCGUGUCUGAUUUCAGUGGGAAACGGCCUAAAUGGAAUGAGAACUUUCAACAACGGAUCUCUUGGCUCUG